Molecule: long non-coding RNA, 944 nt
Organism: Triticum dicoccoides
Lineage: Eukaryota; Viridiplantae; Streptophyta; Magnoliopsida; Poales; Poaceae
Exons: 3
Source: RefSeq, a predicted model, not a curated record
CUAGGCAGUUUGUCCCUGCCGCCGCCGCACUCACCUUCCGCCUCGGGAUCCUCCCACAUCCCCUUCUCACCCAACCAGCGAGCUCCUUCUAGCAUCCCUCGAUCCCCUCCUCAAUUUCUUCAUCGAGCCAACCAGUCACCUCGCCGGAGUCCAGCAGUCGCCAUCCAUGCGUGCCCCUAUUUCCUUCUCCCCCCUCGAGCUGUCUCUCUCUCUGAUUCCUCAAAUCCCCUUUCUUCUCUGUGUUCCACAGGACGCCAAGGAUGCAAUAGCUUGACCCCGCCGCUGCCGUUCGAACUCUCCGGCCGGAUCUCCCUCUGCUGCUGGGAACGGGUUCCCCGCACCCCGAUCUGCCUUCACCGUGUCGCCGCGCGACCACCUCGCCUCCUUGUCGGCCUCCUCCACCAACCCACCGUGCCGAGCAGCAGCACCCUGUCCGCCUCCCUCUUCCCAUCAAAGCCACCAGAAUCUCGCUUCUGGAGCAAGCAACUCCUCCUUGCCGCCCCAUGCGCUCCGGACCACCCCCGUCGCCAUGGAUGGGUGAGCCCCGCGCCCGAGCUCUGUAGGCCGCCGCCGUUGCCCGGAACCGAUGCCGGACGACUCGAACCGCCUCGUUCCGGCUGGUUCCGGCCGAUUCCAUUGCCAGGAACCCCCCCCUGUGUCUUCCUCUCCAUCGCCAUGGGCCUGCUGUUGUUUCUGUUCUUCAGAAACGAGAGCAGCAGCGGCUCCCUCAUCCUCGUGCGUUGACCCGCUCCAGCGCCAGCUCCCCUGCAUCGCUCGUCCCCUGCAUCGCGUGUGUGGCCUCUCGUGGCAGAUCGCCAAGGCCCACCGCGCCUCUGCCUAGCCGGCCUGCCCGGCCUCCUCCCACCGACCGGGCCUUGGCCCAUGUUCCGGUAAUGUUGCGAUUGUAAGGAUUCGUUCGACUACUCCCAUUCGUCUUCUUCAUG